UGGGGAAUAUUGGACAAUGGGCGAAAGCCUGAUCCAGCCAUGCCGCGUGUGUGAAGAAGGCCUUUUGGUUGUAAAGCACUUUAAGUGGGGAGGAAAAGCUUAUGGUUAAUACCCAUAAGCCCUGACGUUACCCACAGAAUAAGCACCGGCUAACUCUGUGCCAGCAGCCGCGGUAAUACAGAGGAUGCAAGCGUUAAUCGGAAUUACUGGGCGUAAAGCGCGCGUAGGUGGUUAUUUAAGUCAGAUGUGAAAGCCCCGGGCUUAACCUGGGAACUGCAUCUGAUACUGGAUAACUAGAGUAGGUGAGAGGGGAGUAGAAUUCCAGGUGUAGCGGUGAAAUGCGUAGAGAUCUGGAGGAAUACCGAUGGCGAAGGCAGCUCCCUGGCAUCAUACUGACACUGAGGUGCGAAAGCGUGGGUAGCAAACAGGAUUAGAUACCCUGGUAGUCCACGCCGUAAACGAUGUCUACCAGUCGUUGGGUCUUUUAAAGACUUAGUGACGCAGUUAACGCAAUAAGUAGACCGCCUGGGGAGUACGGCCGCAAGGUUA
RNAcentral lists this ribosomal RNA (549 nucleotides) under uncultured bacterium. Its description in RNAcentral is "bacterial SSU rRNA". It matches the Rfam family "Bacterial small subunit ribosomal RNA", at positions 355 to 896 of the family's 1533-position model. The record is from RNAcentral.